AGUGAACGCUGGCGGUAGGCCUAACACAUGCAAGUCGAACGGCAGCGCUGUAAGAGCUUUCCUUUACGGAUGGCGAGAGGCGGGCGGGUGAGGAAAACAUCGGAAGCUACUUUUUCGUGCGGGAUAACGUAGGGACACUUACGCUAAUACUGCAUACGGCCUACGGGUGAACGCAGGGGAUCUUCGGACCUUGCGCGUUUGUAUGAGCCGAUGUCGGAUUAGCUAGUUGGCGGGGUGAAGGCCCACCAAGGCAACGAUCCGUAGCUGGUCGGAGAGGAUGAUCAGGCACACUAGAACGGAGACGCGGUCCAGACUCCAACCGGACGCAGCAGAGGGGAAUAUUGGACAAGGGGCGGAAGCCUGAUCCAGCCAUGCCGCGUGGGGUAAGGAGGCACUCGGGUUGUAAAUCUCAUCUGUUGGGAAAGAAAAGCAGCAGGUUAAUACCCCGCUGUUCUGACGGUACCAAAAGAAUAAGCACCGGCUAACUUCGUG
RNAcentral lists this ribosomal RNA (492 nucleotides) under uncultured bacterium. RNAcentral's name for it is "partial 16S ribosomal RNA". It matches the Rfam family "Bacterial small subunit ribosomal RNA", at positions 29 to 507 of the family's 1533-position model. The record is from RNAcentral.